GGUGAUAUGAACCGUUAUAACCGGCGAUUUCCGAAUGGGGAAACCCAGUGUGAUUCGUCACACUAUCAUUAACUGAAUCCAUAGGUUAAUGAGGCGAACCGGGGGAACUGAAACAUCUAAGUACCCCGAGGAAAAGAAAUCAACCGAGAUUCCCCCAGUAGCGGCGAGCGAACGGGGAGGAGCCCAGAGCCUGAAUCAGUGUGUGUGUUAGUGGAAGCGUCUGGAAAGGCGCGCGAUACAGGGUGACAGCCCCGUACACAAAAAUGCACAUGCUGUGAGCUCGAUGAGUAGGGCGGGACACGUGGUAUCCUGUCUGAAUAUGGGGGGACCAUCCUCCAAGGCUAAAUACUCCUGACUGACCGAUAGUGAACCAGUACCGUGAGGGAAAGGCGAAAAGAACCCCGGAGAGGGGAGUGAAAUAGAACCUGAAACCGUAUGCGUACAAGCAGUGGGAGCCUACUUGUUAGGUGACUGCGUACCUUUUGUAUAAUGGGUCAGCGACUUAUAUUCAGUGGCAAGCUUAACCGUAUAGGGUAGGCGUAGCGAAAGCGAGUCUUAAUAGGGCGUUUAGUCGCUGGGUAUAGACCCGAAACCGGGCGAUCUAUCCAUGAGC
RNAcentral lists this ribosomal RNA (613 nucleotides) under Eggerthia catenaformis. RNAcentral's name for it is "bacterial LSU rRNA". It matches the Rfam family "Bacterial large subunit ribosomal RNA", at positions 85 to 741 of the family's 2925-position model. Lineage: Bacteria; Bacillati; Bacillota; Erysipelotrichia; Erysipelotrichales; Coprobacillaceae. The record is from RNAcentral.